GAGAGUAGCUUGCUACUUUGCCGGCGAGCGGCGGACGGGUGAGUAAUGUCUGGGAAACUGCCUGAUGGAGGGGGAUAACUACUGGAAACGGUAGCUAAUACCGCAUAACGUCGCAAGACCAAAGAGGGGGACCUUCGGGCCUCUUGCCAUCAGAUGUGCCCAGAUGGGAUUAGCUAGUAGGUGGGGUAACGGCUCACCUAGGCGACGAUCCCUAGCUGGUCUGAGAGGAUGACCAGCCACACUGGAACUGAGACACGGUCCAGACUCCUACGGGAGGCAGCAGUGGGGAAUAUUGCACAAUGGGCGCAAGCCUGAUGCAGCCAUGCCGCGUGUAUGAAGAAGGCCUUCGGGUUGUAAAGUACUUUCAGCGGGGAGGAAGGUGUUGAGGUUAAUAACCACAGCAAUUGACGUUACCCGCAGAAGAAGCACCGGCUAACUCCGUGCCAGCAGCCGCGGUAAUACGGAGGGUGCAAGCGUUAAUCGGAAUUACUGGGCGUAAAGCGCACGCAGGCGGUCUGUCAAGUCGGAUGUGAAAUCCCCGGGCUCAACCUGGGAACUGCAUUCGAAACUGGCAGGCUAGAGUCUUGUAGAGGGGGGUAGAAUUCCAGGUGUAGCGGUGAAAUGCGUAGAGAUCUGGAGGAAUACCGGUGGCGAAUGCGGCCCCCUGGACAAAGACUGACGCUCAUGUGCGAAAGCGU
This 698-nucleotide ribosomal RNA is filed under the name Enterobacter sp. S20. Its description in RNAcentral is "bacterial SSU rRNA". It matches the Rfam family "Bacterial small subunit ribosomal RNA", at positions 71 to 762 of the family's 1533-position model. The record is from RNAcentral. Lineage: Bacteria; Pseudomonadati; Pseudomonadota; Gammaproteobacteria; Enterobacterales; Enterobacteriaceae.